CCUACGGGCGGCAGCAGUGGGGAAUAUUGGGCAAUGGGCGCAAGCCUGACCCAGCAACGCCGCGUGAAGGAAGAAGGCUUUCGGGUUGUAAACUUCUUUUGUCAGGGACGAAGCAAGUGACGGUACCUGACGAAUAAGCCACGGCUAACUACGUGCCAGCAGCCGCGGUAAUACGUAGGUGGCAAGCGUUAUCCGGAUUUACUGGGUGUAAAGGGCGUGUAGGCGGGACUGCAAGUCAGAUGUGAAAACCACGGGCUCAACCUGUGGCCUGCAUUUGAAACUGUAGUUCUUGAGUACUGGAGAGGCAGACGGAAUUCCUAGUGUAGCGGUGAAAUGCGUAGAUAUUAGGAGGAACACCAGUGGCGAAGGCGGUCUGCUGGACAGCAACUGACGCUGAUGCUCGAAAGCGCGGGUAUCGAACAGGAUUAGAUACCCGAGUAGUC
RNAcentral lists this ribosomal RNA (443 nucleotides) under uncultured bacterium. RNAcentral's name for it is "partial 16S ribosomal RNA". It matches the Rfam family "Bacterial small subunit ribosomal RNA", at positions 338 to 795 of the family's 1533-position model. The record is from RNAcentral.